AUCAUCAAUCCCACGGGUUUCUUAUCUGUGUGGACUUGGAACUGGGCGUCUGCCUCCCAAGGCUCGCCUCAAAUGACUCAGUGGGAACUUCUUGACCUACGCCUGACGUGAUAAGUUUCGUCUCGGCCGGUCCUGAGGCCCGCUCACAACCCCCCACAUCUUUUGA
RNAcentral lists this unclassified non-coding RNA (166 nucleotides) under uncultured Kockovaella. RNAcentral describes it as "sequence contains ITS2". The record is from RNAcentral. Lineage: Eukaryota; Fungi; Basidiomycota; Tremellomycetes; Tremellales; Cuniculitremaceae.